CAGCCGCCACGGUAAUACGUAGGGUGCAAGCGUUGUCCGGAAUCAUUGGGCGUAAAGCGCGCGUAGGUGGCCAUUUAAGUCCGCUGUGAAAGUCAAAGGCUCAACCUUUGAAAGCCGGUGGAUACUGGAUGGCUAGAGUACGGAAGAGGCGAGUGGAAUUCCUGGUGUAGCGGUGGAGUGCGCAGAUAUCAGGAGGAACACCAAUAGCGAAGGCAGCUCGCUGGGACGUUACUGACACUGAGGCGCGAAAGCGUGGGGAGCAAACAGGAUUAGAUACCCCCGUAGUCCCUGUCUCUUAUAC
This 301-nucleotide ribosomal RNA is filed under the name uncultured bacterium. RNAcentral's name for it is "partial 16S ribosomal RNA". It matches the Rfam family "Bacterial small subunit ribosomal RNA", at positions 509 to 807 of the family's 1533-position model. The record is from RNAcentral.